Molecule: long non-coding RNA, 485 nt
Filed under: Selaginella moellendorffii
Lineage: Eukaryota; Viridiplantae; Streptophyta; Lycopodiopsida; Selaginellales; Selaginellaceae
Description: long non-coding RNA (SMOE_LNC002075)
Source: RNAcentral
GAAAAAUAAAGAACUUGUGUUGCAAGUGUGUCAGUACUUAAGAACUUUGGCAUGAGAUAUGGAAUGGAAGGCCAUGUUAUGACUCGCCUGGCACGCACGCAAUCUUCACUGUUCUGUUCAUACUCACCUUUUGGUUAAAGUUUCCUGAAAGGUACACAAUUCUUUUACUUCCUGGAAUCUAGUUUUCAUAUUGCAGAAGUUCUAAAUCUUACAGCUCUCCAACUCCGGCCGUCCUUCCAAGAAGCUCCUCAGUAACUCGUACUGUGUGUUCUCGUCACUGAUCAUCGUGGCCUGAGCCAGAAACUAGGGAGAGCGGAACUGGCUGGAUCCGCCGAAACCUUGCACUCGGAGUUUUUGGAUGGGAAAGCGGUGACUUCAACCCCUCCGAAAGAAUGAGGCCCAUACUUUCAACGUAAGAUAAAAUAAAAACCCUGCCAGGUAUCCUAAUCUAGAUCUGCAUCUGAUUCCUUGAUCUAGCUUUCCAG